AGUGAACGCUGGCGGUAGGCCUAACACAUGCAAGUCGAACGGCAGCACAGUAAGAGCUUGCUCUUACGGGUGGCGAGUGGCGGACGGGUGAGGAAUACAUCGGAAUCUACUUUUUCGUGGGGGAUAACGUAGGGAAACUUACGCUAAUACCGCAUACGACCUACGGGUGAAAGCAGGGGAUCUUCGGACCUUGCGCGAUUGAAUGAGCCGAUGUCGGAUUAGCUAGUUGGCGGGGUAAAGGCCCACCAAGGCGACGAUCCGUAGCUGGUCUGAGAGGAUGUUCGUCCAGACUGGAACUGAGACACGGUCCAGAACGAGACGGGAGGCAGAAGUGUGGAAUAGCGGACCAUGGGCGAAAGACGUAUACAGCCAUACCGGGUGGUGGAAGAAGCCCUUCGGUUUGUAAAUCCUUUGUGUUGGAAAAGAAAAGCAGCAGCUUAAUACCCCGCUGUUCUGACGGUACCAAAAGAAUAAGAACCGGCUAACUUCGUGCCACCAGCCGCGGUAAUAAUC
This 513-nucleotide ribosomal RNA is filed under the name uncultured bacterium. Its description in RNAcentral is "partial 16S ribosomal RNA". It matches the Rfam family "Bacterial small subunit ribosomal RNA", at positions 29 to 526 of the family's 1533-position model. The record is from RNAcentral.